Molecule: ribosomal RNA, 484 nt
Filed under: uncultured bacterium
Lineage: Bacteria
Description: partial 16S ribosomal RNA
Rfam family: Bacterial small subunit ribosomal RNA
Source: RNAcentral
AUUGAACGCUGGCGGCAUGCUUUACACAUGCAAGUCGAACGGUAACAGGGUGCUUGCACCGCUGACGAGUGGCGAACGGGUGAGUAAUGCAUCGGAAUGUACCGUGUAAUGGGGGAUAGCUCGGCGAAAGCCGGAUUAAUACCGCAUACGCCCUGAGGGGGAAAGUGGGGGACCGAAAGGCCUCACGUUAUACGAGCAGCCGAUGCCUGAUUAGCUAGUUGGUGAGGUAAAGGCUCACCAAGGCGUCGAACAGUAGCGGGUCUGAGAGGAUGAUCCGCCACACUGGGACUGAGACACGGCCCAGACUCCUACGGGAGGCAGCAGUGGGGAAUUUUGGACAAUGGGCGCAAGCCUGAUCCAGCCAUGCCGCGUGUCUGAAGAAGGCCUUCGGGUUGUAAAGGACUUUUGUCCGGGAGCAAAUCCUAGUGGUUAAUAACCGCUGGGUCUGAGAGUACCGGAAGAAUAAGCACCGGCUAACUACGUG